Molecule: ribosomal RNA, 2171 nt
Filed under: Escherichia coli
Lineage: Bacteria; Pseudomonadati; Pseudomonadota; Gammaproteobacteria; Enterobacterales; Enterobacteriaceae
Description: partial 23S ribosomal RNA
Rfam family: Bacterial large subunit ribosomal RNA
Source: RNAcentral
GGGUUGUGAGGUUAAGCGACUAAGCGUACACGGUGGAUGCCCUGGCAGUCAGAGGCGAUGAAGGACGUGCUAAUCUGCGAUAAGCGUCGGUAAGGUGAUAUGAACCGUUAUAACCGGCGAUUUCCGAAUGGGGAAACCCAGUGUGAUUCGUCACACUAUCAUUAACUGAAUCCAUAGGUUAAUGAGGCGAACCGGGGGAACUGAAACAUCUAAGUACCCCGAGGAAAAGAAAUCAACCGAGAUUCCCCCAGUAGCGGCGAGCGAACGGGGAGCAGCCCAGAGCCUGAAUCAGUGUGUGUGUUAGUGGAAGCGUCUGGAAAGGCGCGCGAUACAGGGUGACAGCCCCGUACACAAAAAUGCACAUGCUGUGAGCUCGAUGAGUAGGGCGGGACACGUGGUAUCCUGUCUGAAUAUGGGGGGACCAUCCUCCAAGGCUAAAUACUCCUGACUGACCGAUAGUGAACCAGUACCGUGAGGGAAAGGCGAAAAGAACCCCGGCGAGGGGAGUGAAAAAGAACCUGAAACCGUGUACGUACAAGCAGUGGGAGCACGCUUAGGCGUGUGACUGCGUACCUUUUGUAUAAUGGGUCAGCGACUUAUAUUCUGUAGCAAGGUUAACCGAAUAGGGGAGCCGAAGGGAAACCGAGUCUUAACUGGGCGUUAAGUUGCAGGGUAUAGACCCGAAACCCGGUGAUCUAGCCAUGGGCAGGUUGAAGGUUGGGUAACACUAACUGGAGGACCGAACCGACUAAUGUUGAAAAAUUAGCGGAUGACUUGUGGCUGGGGGUGAAAGGCCAAUCAAACCGGGAGAUAGCUGGUUCUCCCCGAAAGCUAUUUAGGUAGCGCCUCGUGAAUUCAUCUCCGGGGGUAGAGCACUGUUUCGGCAAGGGGGUCAUCCCGACUUACCAACCCGAUGCAAACUGCGAAUACCGGAGAAUGUUAUCACGGGAGACACACGGCGGGUGCUAACGUCCGUCGUGAAGAGGGAAACAACCCAGACCGCCAGCUAAGGUCCCAAAGUCAUGGUUAAGUGGGAAACGAUGUGGGAAGGCCCAGACAGCCAGGAUGUUGGCUUAGAAGCAGCCAUCAUUUAAAGAAAGCGUAAUAGCUCACUGGUCGAGUCGGCCUGCGCGGAAGAUGUAACGGGGCUAAACCAUGCACCGAAGCUGCGGCAGCGACGCUGAUGCGUUGUUGGGUAGGGGAGCGUUCUGUAAGCCUGUGAAGGUGUGCUGUGAGGCAUGCUGGAGGUAUCAGAAGUGCGAAUGCUGACAUAAGUAACGAUAAAGCGGGUGAAAAGCCCGCUCGCCGGAAGACCAAGGGUUCCUGUCCAACGUUAAUCGGGGCAGGGUGAGUCGACCCCUAAGGCGAGGCCGAAAGGCGUAGUCGAUGGGAAACAGGUUAAUAUUCCUGUACUUGGUGUUACUGCGAAGGGGGGACGGAGAAGGCUAUGUUGGCCGGGCGACGGUUGUCCCGGUUUAAGCGUGUAGGCUGGUUUUCCAGGCAAAUCCGGAAAAUCAAGGCUGAGGCGUGAUGACGAGGCACUACGGUGCUGAAGCAACAAAUGCCCUGCUUCCAGGAAAAGCCUCUAAGCAUCAGGUAACAUCAAAUCGUACCCCAAACCGACACAGGUGGUCAGGUAGAGAAUACCAAGGCGCUUGAGAGAACUCGGGUGAAGGAACUAGGCAAAAUGGUGCCGUAACUUCGGGAGAAGGCACGCUGAUAUGUAGGUGAAGUUGCUCGCGGAUGGAGCUGAAAUCAGUCGAAGAUACCAGCUGGCUGCAACUGUUUAUUAAAAACACAGCACUGUGCAAACACGAAAGUGGACGUAUACGGUGUGACGCCUGCCCGGUGCCGGAAGGUUAAUUGAUGGGGUCAGCGCAAGCGAAGCUCUUGAUCGAAGCCCCGGUAAACGGCGGCCGUAACUAUAACGGUCCUAAGGUAGCGAAAUUCCUUGUCGGGUAAGUUCCGACCUGCACGAAUGGCGUAAUGAUGGCCAGGCUGUCUCCACCCGAGACUCAGUGAAAUUGAACUCGCUGUGAAGAUGCAGUGUACCCGCGGCAAGACGGAAAGACCCCGUGAACCUUUACUAUAGCUUGACACUGAACAUUGAGCCUUGAUGUGUAGGAUAGGUGGGAGGCUUUGAAGUGUGGACGCCAGUCUGCAUGGAGCCG